ACAAGCCCUGGAAACGGGGUCUAAUACCGGAUACGACUACCGACCGCAUGGUCUGGUGGUGGAAAGCUCCGGCGGUGCAGGAUGAGCCCGCGGCCUAUCAGCUUGUUGGUGGGGUGAUGGCCUACCAAGGCGACGACGGGUAGCCGGCCUGAGAGGGCGACCGGCCACACUGGGACUGAGACACGGCCCAGACUCCUACGGGAGGCAGCAGUGGGGAAUAUUGCACAAUGGGCGAAAGUCUGAUGCAGCGACGCCGCGUGAGGGAUGACGGCCUUCGGGUUGUAAACCCCUUUCAGCAGGGAAGAAGCGAAAGUGACGGUACCUGCANAAGAAGCACCGGCUAACUACGUGCCAGCAGCCGCGGUAAUACGUAGGGUGCGAGCGUUGUCCGGAAUUAUUGGGCGUAAAGAGCUCGUAGGCGGCUUGUCACGUCAGAUGUGAAAANCCCNGNNCUUAAC
This 458-nucleotide ribosomal RNA is filed under the name uncultured Streptomyces sp. RNAcentral describes it as "bacterial SSU rRNA". It matches the Rfam family "Bacterial small subunit ribosomal RNA", at positions 143 to 614 of the family's 1533-position model. Lineage: Bacteria; Bacillati; Actinomycetota; Actinomycetes; Kitasatosporales; Streptomycetaceae. The record is from RNAcentral.